RNAcentral lists this transfer RNA (76 nucleotides) under Candidatus Atribacteria bacterium. RNAcentral's name for it is "tRNA-Arg". It matches the Rfam family "tRNA". Rfam says of the family: Transfer RNA (tRNA) molecules are approximately 80 nucleotides in length. Their secondary structure includes four short double-helical elements and three loops (D, anti-codon, and T loops). RNAcentral also lists the same sequence under 1 other name. The record is from RNAcentral. Lineage: Bacteria; Pseudomonadati; Atribacterota; Atribacteria.
GCGCCCGUGGCUCAAUGGAUAGAGCAGGGGCUUCCUAAGCCCUUGGUUGGAAGUUCGACUCUUCCCGGGCGCACCA